CGCUGGUACAUCCUGUCCAGGCCAUUCCACCGCUAGGCUAUCUUCAUCACUGGAAUCCUGACAGCAAUGCUCUGCUGGAUCCAUAUAGACUACAGUUACAUCCAAGACUCCACUGGGAGCAGUCACUAGAGGAAGAUAUAGAAGAGUGAUUUGGAUCUACCUGAGCAGCAAUGUAGUCAGAGCCAGGAACUCAAGAUCUCUAAUCCUGGGCGAUUAAUUUCCUCUGUGGCUUUAGAGAAAGUCAACACACAAGCGCUGAUUUCUCCCUUGUGUAAAGUGGGGAUGACGACGACUCAUUCCACAGAGUCUGCAGCCAUUGAGGAAGAGCUCUCCAAGUCUUGUAGCCAGACAUUUUGCAGCAUUGCAAAUGGACAAGGAGAUUUUGGCAUCUAUCAUCAGGAAACAUUUUGCUGCUACAGGCUGUGGUGUAAAGAUAAUCGCCAUAGUACAACAGAAAAGGGACCUUCCUUCAGUGACUGCUGUCUCUCUGAAAGAGUUUGCACUUUUCUGACUUUGUUAAGCUGCAGAUGGGAAAAUCUGGUUUCUCCCUAUUGUAAUUAAAGAAGAAAAAUACACUA
This is a long non-coding RNA of Mauremys mutica (yellowpond turtle), 578 nucleotides long. RefSeq lists it as uncharacterized. The record is from RefSeq and is a predicted model, not a curated record. NCBI's taxonomy places the organism in Eukaryota, Metazoa, Chordata, Testudines, Geoemydidae. The transcript is spliced from 2 exons.